AGUGAACGCUGGCGGUAGGCCUAACACAUGCAAGUCGAACGGCAGCACAGUAAGAGCUUGCUCUUACGGGUGGCGAGUGGCGGACGGGUGAGGAAUACAUCGGAAUCUACUUUUUCGUGGGGGAUAACGUAGGGAAACUUACGCUAAUACCGCAUACGACCUACGGGUGAAAGCAGGGGAUCUUCGGACCUUGCGCGAUUGAAUGAGCCGAUGUCGGAUUAGCUAGUUGGCGGGGUAAAGGCCCACCAAGGCGACGAUCCGUAGCUGGUCUGAGAGGAUGAUCAGCCACACUGGAACUGAGACACGGUCCAGACUCCGACGGGAGGCAGCAGUGGGGAAUAUUGGACAAUGGGCGCAAGCCUGAUCCAGCCAUACCGCGUGGGUGAAGAAGGCCUUCGGGUUGUAAAGCCCUUUUGUUGUGAAAGAAAAGCAGCAGGUUAAUACCCCGCUGUUCUGACGGUACCCAAAGAAUAAGCACCGGCUAACUUCGUG
RNAcentral lists this ribosomal RNA (492 nucleotides) under uncultured bacterium. RNAcentral's name for it is "partial 16S ribosomal RNA". It matches the Rfam family "Bacterial small subunit ribosomal RNA", at positions 29 to 507 of the family's 1533-position model. The record is from RNAcentral.